Molecule: ribosomal RNA, 265 nt
Filed under: unidentified alpha proteobacterium groupF
Lineage: Bacteria; Pseudomonadati; Pseudomonadota; Alphaproteobacteria
Description: partial 16S small subunit ribosomal RNA
Rfam family: Bacterial small subunit ribosomal RNA
Source: RNAcentral
UCACUUUAGUUGCCAUCAUUAAGUUGGGCACUCUGAAAGAACUGCCAGUGAUAAGCUGGACCAAGGUGGGGACGACGUCAAGUCCUCAUGGCCCUUACGUGUUGGGCUACACACGUGCUACAAUGGCAUCUACAACAGGAAGCAAAACGGCAACGUUAAGCAAAUCCCGAAAAGAUGCCUCAGUUCGGAUUGUACUCUGCAACUCGAGUGCAUGAAGCUGGAAUUACUAGUAAUCGUGGAUCAGCGUGCCACGGUGAAUGCGUUC